CCUGUGCCUGGCCGAGCUGGAUCAGGUCGCCGAGUCGGCGGCCCGGUGGGAGCCGUUCGACGCGGCCACCCUGGCC
This 76-nucleotide transfer RNA is filed under the name Micromonospora phaseoli. RNAcentral describes it as "tRNA-Ala". Lineage: Bacteria; Bacillati; Actinomycetota; Actinomycetes; Micromonosporales; Micromonosporaceae. The record is from RNAcentral.